CACGUAGGGUGCAAGCGUUGUCCGGAAUCAUUGGGCGUAAAGAGCUCGUAGGCGGCUUAGCAAGUCGGGUGUGAAAACUUCAGGCUCAACCUGGAGCGGCCAUCCGAUACUGCUAUGGCUAGAGUCCGGUAGGGGACCACGGAAUUCCUGGUGUAGCGGUGAAAUGCGCAGAUAUCAGGAGGAACACCGAUGGCGAAAGCAGUGGUCUGGGCCGGAACUGACGCUGAAUAGCGAAAGCGUGGGUAGCGAACAGG
This 254-nucleotide ribosomal RNA is filed under the name uncultured bacterium. RNAcentral describes it as "partial 16S ribosomal RNA". It matches the Rfam family "Bacterial small subunit ribosomal RNA", at positions 524 to 776 of the family's 1533-position model. The record is from RNAcentral.